GGCUCAGAAUGAACGCUGGCGGCAGGCCUAACACAUGCAAGUCGAACGGGCACCUUCGGGUGUUAGUGGCGGACGGGUGAGUAACGCGUGGGAACGUGCCCUUUGGUUCGGAAUAGCCCCGGGAAACUGGGAGUAAUACUGGAUAAGCCCUUCGGGGGAAAGAUUUAUCGCCAAAGGAUCGGCCCGCGUUGGAUUAGGUAGUUGGUGGGGUAAUGGCCUACCAAGCCGACGAUCCAUAGCUGGUUUGAGAGGAUGAUCAGCCACACUGGGACUGAGACACGGCCCAGACUCCUACGGGAGGCAGCAGUGGGGAAUCUUAGACAAUGGGGGAAACCCUGAUCUAGCCAUGCCGCGUGAUCGAUGAAGGCCUUAGGGUUGUAAAGAUCUUUCAGUGGGGAAGAUAAUGAC
Molecule: ribosomal RNA, 408 nt
Filed under: Rhizobium sp. R-41586
Lineage: Bacteria; Pseudomonadati; Pseudomonadota; Alphaproteobacteria; Hyphomicrobiales; Rhizobiaceae
Description: bacterial SSU rRNA
Rfam family: Bacterial small subunit ribosomal RNA
Source: RNAcentral